This 333-nucleotide unclassified non-coding RNA is filed under the name soil metagenome. RNAcentral describes it as "partial contains 5.8S ribosomal RNA, internal transcribed spacer 2, and large subunit ribosomal RNA". The stretch from base 1 to 121 matches the Rfam family "5.8S ribosomal RNA", at positions 35 to 154 of the family's 154-position model. The record is from RNAcentral.
GAUGAAGAAACGCAGCGAAAUGCGAUAAGUAGUGUGAAUUGCAGAAUUCAGUGAAUCAUCGAAUCUUUGAACGCACAUUGCGCCCUUUGGUAUUCCUUAGGGCAUGCCUGUUCGAGCGUCAUUUAAACCUUCAAGCUAAGCUUGGUGUUGGGUGACUGUCCGCUUCACUGCGGACUCGCCUCAAAAUUAUUGGCGGCCGGUACAUUGGCUUCGAGCGCAGCAGAAACGCGAACUCGGGCCCGUCGUAUUGGCUCCCAGAAGCUAUCUUCACAAUUUUGACCUCGGAUCAGGUAGGGAUACCCGCUGAACUUAAGCAUAUCAAUAAGCGGAGGA